GGCCCGCUCCCAAGAUGGCGGCGCAGUGCGGCUCCGUCGUCUGAGGCGGCGGGGGCGGCCUGCGCUCCCGGACGCGUUCCUCGGCCUGCUGGAGCGGCGCGAGGCGGCCGAGGGCGAGCGGCGAGCCGCCGGCGGCGGGCCUGACCCCGGGGUGGAGGUGCGCGAGGCCUCGACGUCGCGCUCGGGCUCGUCGUUCUCACCGGCGGCGUCGCUGGCCAGCAGGAUGCCCAACAUCAAGCUCUUCAGCGGUUCCUCGCACCAGGACCUGUCGCAGAGGAUCGCCGACCGGCUGGGCCUGGAGCUGGGCAAGGUGGUCACGAAGAAGUUCUCCAACCAGGAGACGUGCGUGGAGAUCGGCGAGAGCGUGCGCGGCGAGGAUGUCUACAUUGUCCAGAGUGGCUGCGGCGAGAUCAACGACCACUUGAUGGAGCUGCUCAUCAUGAUCAAUGCCUGCAAGAUCGCCUCAGCCAGCCGAGUGACAGCUGUCAUUCCCUGCUUCCCCUACGCCCGGCAGGACAAGAAGGACAAGAGCCGAGCGCCCAUCUCUGCCAAGCUCGUUGCCAACAUGCUCUCGGUGGCCGGCGCCGACCACAUCAUCACCAUGGACCUCCACGCCUCUCAGAUCCAGGGCUUCUUUGACAUCCCCGUCGACAACCUUUAUGCCGAGCCGGCUGUUCUCAAGUGGAUCAAGGAGAACAUCGCCGAGUGGAAGAACUGCACCAUCGUCUCGCCGGAUGCUGGGGGGGCCAAAAGGGUGACAUCCAUUGCCGACCGCCUGAACGUUGACUUUGCCCUCAUCCACAAGGAGCGCAAGAAGGCCAGCGAGGUCGACCGCAUGGUUCUGGUGGGCGACGUCAAGGACCGGGCAGCCAUCUUGGUGGAUGACAUGGCCGACACCUGCGGGACAAUCUGCCAUGCCGCCGAAAAGCAACCCCUGUGGUCAUCCAGCCCAACCCGCUUUCCCCCGCAGGCUCCUCUCGGCGGGCGCUACCCGGGUCUAUGCCAUCCUGACCCACGGCAUCUUCUCCGGCCCGGCCAUCUCCCGGAUCAACGGCGCCGGGUUUGAAGCUGUCGUCGUCACCAACACCAUCCCGCAGGAGGAGAAGAUGAGGCAGUGCCCCAAAAUCCAGGUGAUUGACAUCUCCAUGAUCCUGGCCGAGGCCAUCCGCCGCACGCACAACGGCGAAUCCGUCUCCUACCUGUUCAGCCACGUCCCGCUAUAGUUCCCGACCCCGGCGCAUGAAUUCCCCUUUGGGGGAAAAACCAGUCCUCUGUGCAUGUACAGAGUGCUAAGUUGGCUUUACCCCACGAUUCCCCCUUUUUCGAUUUGGGGUGCCUGGCGGGUGGGAAUUCUAGCGUGGGUCUAAUUUGGGGCUCAUUUUAUCUACUCGUUCCUCUGGUCCUUUCACUUCCCCAAAUUUAAAAGCCCAUUUAAAAGUAUUUAUUGUUCAUUUCCAAAGGGGCUACCCAGUACCUUGGUGUCGGAGUUACAAUUCCCCGCCCCUUGAUUUGGGGUUUCGACGCUAUGACUCCCAGCCCCAAAUCCCUCUUUUCUCGUACCCUGUGCUUGUUUCCUUUACUGGAAAAAAAACAUUUUUUCACGAAUCUGGGCGUCUAGUGUUGGCGCUAGAAUUCCUCCCAGGUGCCCAGUGGCACCACAUUCAUUUCAUUCUGUCUCCUGUCACCCCCCAAAUACACUUACUUUUGAACUUUGAUCCAGGCAGUAGAAUUCCCUCUAGGCGCCUAGCAACGCUAUGACUCCCCUACGCCCCAUUCAUUUUGUUCUGCCUCCUAUCACCCCCUCAAAAUAGACUUAAUUUUGAGCUCGGAUUCCCCGCCCUCGCGUCUAUUCAUUUCAUCCGAUCCCCAUUAUUCCCCCCC
Molecule: RNA transcript, 1881 nt
Organism: Zootoca vivipara (common lizard)
Lineage: Eukaryota; Metazoa; Chordata; Lepidosauria; Squamata; Lacertidae
Gene name: ribose-phosphate pyrophosphokinase 1
Source: RefSeq, a predicted model, not a curated record